Molecule: non-coding RNA, 9564 nt
Organism: Xyrichtys novacula (pearly razorfish)
Lineage: Eukaryota; Metazoa; Chordata; Actinopteri; Labriformes; Labridae
Source: the annotation of a GenBank genome assembly
UUUAACCUUGAGUGUUCUCUUUCCAAGUAGAGGAUCUUUGGCUGGAAAACAAAGGCAUGCAUCUUUGGUUGAUGGGAAAUCAUCACCCAUGAAUACUUGAAGCGCAGUAAGCAAAGUUUCCAUUAAAAUGCAAAUAGAAAGAGACAAUAUGUUUCAGGUCUUUAGUUUCUAGAAAGAAAUUGUUUAUUCUGUGUUCUUGGAAUCAUAUGAAUCUGGAGAGCCCCAGUUUCACGCGGCUAACUUGUUGAUUUGUUGCUUUAAAUUAAAAUUUUUGACCUUGAACAAGAUGUUUGCUGCAAUGCAAUGCAGUCAUCUGUUAAUGGAUGUAAAUGAAUCAUUGCCAGUUUAUUGCAGAUAAGAUCUGGGAUGUUCCCUUGUAUUGCAUUCCUCCUGCUUUUGCUCUCCCCACAGUUUUUCCUGCACACACACACUGAAGCCUGCUGAUACUUGACUAGUCAAUGCAACUUGAGCAGCAAAGAUGCAACAAAAGGAUCCCGGUGAGAUGCUGAAAAUCCAGGCCUCAGCCAAAAGAUUCUGUGGUUUUAUGAAACAUCUAUUAAAAAAUAAAAAACAUGUUAUAACAAUGUUGCUAUCAGAGUUGUUAGAUUGUAAAGUAAUUGAAAAGGUUUGUGUAACUGUCAGCUCUCUUAAUGGCUGUUUGUAGAGCUACAGCUCCUCCAGGGUAUAUGGGUGAUUACUUUCUGAUGUAUCUCAAUUUUUAUAAGGUCAGGCUUUUGUGUAAAGCUCUUGUGCUGAAGAAACAAUAUUAAUCUACAGCUGUCAGAGCUACAAGUAAUCAUGUUGUUGAAAAUAACAACAUUAAAGUUGUGCUGAGGAUAACAAAACUUUAUCAUUAUCACCCGCUUUUGUCUUUGUGUUGAAAACAUGUGGAUAAACAAAAGGUAAAUGUCAGAUGUGUAAAUUAAGAUCAAUACAACUCCCCUUGAGUUAGCGUAAGGAAGAGGACAGGAACACAUAAUGUCUAAACACUUACAAAGACCCUCUAAAUUGACCACCAAAUCUGUACUUCUAUGCUUCAUUUAUUAUGUUAAUUGCAAUUUUUGGAGUAAAGUUUAACUUUUUAAGUGUCUGCAGGUGAAAUAUGAGAGAUACUUUAGAGUAAAUGUGGACUACCUCCAUCAAGGCAAUACUUAUGAUAAUUGUUCAGUUGAAUUGCACAUCACCUCACUCCACAUGGUCCUGCAGUUGGGAGCAGUUUGCUGUUCCACCUCUGUUCCAUGUGGCGCAGAGCUGCAAUGUACACUCUCAUCCUGACUGAGCCGAAAUCUGUCCGCAUACAUGUGUGAUCAGCUUGAUGGAUACUGGACCUCUUAGUGAGAGCAACUUCAUAUGUAACUGUUUCAGACCAUCUUCACUGUAGAAAACAGUUCCAGCCUAGUGUAACUCUGAGUUACAAUUUUAAUCAUUAUGUGCAAUUUGCUCGGCAUAUGCUUCCCUUUUUAUUUCAUCUGCAGAAUUAAGCAGGUGCAAAAGCCAUGCAAUCCUUUUGUGCAUCAGGCCCUUAACCAGCAGAGGAAAAAACAGAUCAUAAUUAUAUCAGGAAAGCUUAAAGUCAGUUAAUUUGGAAAGAAAAGAAGAUAAUUCAUCUCCAAAAUAGCUGGCAUGAAAUUUAAUAGCCGACAGCCAAUAAAUAAAUCCAACUUAUCACUGCGGCUCUUACUCCGAGUUAGAUUUUCUCUUCUUGCUCACAUAUAUCCUUCACUUAAAUUGUUUUUAUGCCCGUGUCUGAAUUCAGCUAAUAGUUAAAUAAUAAGCAGUAAAAUCCCAGAGAAUGAAAUAUGACGUACCAGCUGGGGAAGACAAAUUGAGCAGCCAUCAGUGUGUAUAUAUAUUUUCUUUUAAAAGUACUUCAGAAAUAGCAUGAUUUGACAGAGUGAGAGAAAGUGAGAAAACAUAUAUUUACUGUAGAGGAAGAUGAACACUUGUUUGGUUUCACAAAAGGACUUCAAUUAAACAAGAAUGAUCUUUUCUUGGGCUGGUUUCAGCUCUUUAAAGUCUCAUUUCUGGAAUUUAACUCAAAGCUGGUCUUCUGUGAUUCACCAACUUCACAUGACGUGAUGAAAAUACGCUCUGAAACAGCCCGUGGCAGGAAGUUAAAUAAGGAAAUGUUGUUUAUAAUUUAGAAAAUCAAGAUUCAGGCUGUAAAGAGACAGAAGCUGCUGACCUGUGUUUUUACUACAGCUGCAGGCAAAACUCUUCACUCGUUAAAAAAUUUUCAAUUUAUGUAUAUUGAAUUGAAGGAAGUGUGAAAACAUCAAAACUUAAAAUUCUACAUUUUUAUUUUGUAUCAAAAAUACAUCCUUAGCUUAAGUUUGAUGAAGCAGCAAGUUUCAAAAGAGUUGGGACAGAGCCCCACUUCUCAUUGUGUUGUAUCACCUCGUCUUCAACAAUUCUGUACUUGUUUGGGAUUCAGUUUCUGGAGUAUCAGAAGUGAAAUGUUGUUCUUUUCUUUCUUGAUCCAAGAUACCAGCCAUAUUUUAUGUAAUGCAGCCUAUGUAGCAACUUCCACUACGUCAGUGGUUCUCAAUCUAGUCCUGUUUCCCUGCUCCAAAUGAUCAGCUCGUUAGCCAUUACAGAGCUUGAUAACGAGCUGAUCAUUUGAAUCAGGUGUGUUGGAGCAGGGACCUGCAGGACAGGGGGGCCUCGGGGACUGGAUUGAGAACCACUGCACUAUGUCAUGUUUGUAUCUUAUGCAGCCCAUGUGUGUCAUGAUAUGUUCUGUUUAUUUGGAGUUUCUCUGUGAUUUAAGAUAUGUCAUGAUGGCGAAGUUGAAAAACAGAAAAAAAGACCCAAUUGCAGAACAAAAAGUGAUUUAAUGAAAAAUAACUAAAACAACAAAAACUCUUCUCCAAAUAUGUCCAGCAAAAUAUACAAAAUCCAACAAAGGCACUGGGGGGAAAAACCACAUGGAGACGCAGGAGACACUGAAGACACUGGCAUACACACACAGACAUGCCACACAAUGAACCAACAAAGAAAUAGGGGAAGAUAAGGACUAUAUAUACACAGGGAAAUGAGCAACAGGUGAGACAGACAAGACACAGGUGCAGACAAUAACUAAGUACAAAAAACUGAGGAAGUAAAACAAGACUAGAAACACAGGGAAUAAACUACUACAAAAUAAAACAGUAAACACUGAACACAGAUAUAAGGAAUAAAAUACUGAGAACAUGAGGGAAACAGGGUCAGACACAAACUGCAAACUCACAAGACAGGACUACAGGGGAACCGGAACAAUAAGGAACAGAAACACUAGGGGAAAUACAACACAAAUACACUCAAAUCACAGGGAAUCACUAAAUAAACAGAACAUAUCAUGACAAUGUGGCGACUUCCACUACAGAGUCAUGUUUGUAUCUUAUGCAGUCUAUGCAGCAACUUCUACUACAGAGUCAUGUUUAUAUCCUUGUGACUUCAUUUACUGUCAUAUUUGUAUAUAAUCCACUCCCCCUAGUGGUCCUGAAAGUCAUAGCAUCCAGUUUUGAUUUCUGGCCUCCUUACUUUUGUGGAUAUUUUUUAGCGAUUUUGGGUUUACUUUCAUAUAAAACUAAUUAAAUGAUUAAUGUUGUAAAUUUGUAGCAUUUUUUUUUUUUUUUUGCAGAUGUCUAAGAUCGGGAUGAUCUUGAACCAGAGAAACCUUGAUCCAGUUUUUUGACAGACUCAGCAGGUCUUAUUAUAAACCAUUUAUACACAAGAAAUACACAGACACUUAGGUAAAGUGGACCCAUUUAGAACAGCCUCUGCAACAAGGAAGUAUAUUCAGAUCUGUGAAUGCUCUGCUCAUUCUUGCAAAGCUGCAUUUGCAAAUUGUGCAGCUGUUCCUCAUGUAGCAUUCAUAAGCAAACUAUCCUGCCGGUACAAUCGUAUCGCUUCAGGACGGCUUUGUGCAGGAACGGUGCAGAAUAAUCAUGUUUGCAAUGUACUCUGAGGCCUUAUCAAAACACUCGCCUCAAACCACAGAUGUACUGAUGUCACAGGAGUGUGUACGAGGCAGCGAGGGAUUCACAAGGCAGACAGAGAGAGAGAGAGGAUGUAAAUGGUAUGAAAAUGGCACAAAAGCUCAUAGACAAAAGGCCGCAGGUCCAAACAGAAGAGGAUCAUCCACAGGUACAGACAGGCAGGUUUUAGGUAGAGACAGCCCAAAAUAUGACAAACCAGCCAAUCAAAAUGAGAGUGAGCUGCUUUGGUUGUUUCUUCAACUUUCUGAGCGGGGUUUAUAAGAGACAUUUUGCACCAUAGUCAUUUGAAAUUAAGCUUUAAAGAUUUUUCCACAUGUGAAAUUUGAUAAGAGUUAAAUUUUUGGCAAAAAAUGAAAAACCAAAAAGUAUUUAAUCUGAAAGAACGCUGAUAAAACAGGAAACUUUUUGGGUGGUGAUUCAAACCAUUUUAAUCCAAUUAUACUUUGCAGUUUCACAGCUCCAGCUUCACAGAUUCAAGGAUUUGUUUUCUUGCCUUUAGUUAUUGUCAUGAAUUUAUUGUGAUUUCAUUUGAGCUGAUUAUUGGAUAAAAAAACAAACAUUUUGAAGUUUGGUUUAAUGCCCUUUGGGGAAAACAUGGAGGCAUUUAUCCCAAUUUUGCAUCAUUCAACGAAUAGUUUAAUAUUAACUUUUUCUGUUUUGAUAUUUGAAAGUUCAGUUGAGUGCAGUAACGGACCUGAGUAACAUGCUGAUGAGCUAACUUUAAAUGAGAGGCAGGUGUAUGAGCAGGUGGAUGUGGGCGAGGUCGACCAGAGCUGCAUCUGGUGGACAGGUAAAGAGUAACAGGUGUGGAGAGACGAAGUUGCAAGGCGUUUUGAUGUGGUGUGAUUUGAUUCCUUAUGUGUUUUGUUUGAGUUUAACAGUUUAAUGUUGAUGCGCAACUCACUUCGUCUUGCAGCUGUUGACCUAAAAUAAGAAGUUAAGGGUGCACUGUAAAUCACUGCAAGCAUUUGUGCGUCUAUAUGUUUCUCUUUUAUGACUUUGGUCGCUGCUGGCAUCUCGGUGAAUGUCUAAAGGUUGUUAAAGGUUAUUUUGAUUCAUUCCCGCUCUAUCACUGCACAUAUGUGGUUCACAAGAUAAACGAGCGCUUCAUCAAGGUAAGUGUUUACUGCUUCCCUGUCUGAAUAUUGAAAGUGGGUGUAUUCAUCAUAUUGGAGCUGUGCUGUGAUGGCUUGCUGCUGUUGUGUUCUCUCGGAUGUUUUAUGGUUCGUAUCUGUGUGUCUUCUGCCUCGUUAUGUGUUAAAUAAUGCCGCCGUUCAUGUGCUCAUGUGCACUUUUUCAUCGGUAUGCUCAUUUUUCUUUCGCUGGUUGAUUGGCUCGGUGCUUUGUUGCAAUCUGUUGAAUUAUGAUGCGUGAGCGUUUUAAAGCGAUCCGGCUGCAGAUUUUAACACAUGUUGGCAUUUUAAGGGCGUAUCUAUUGGCUUACUAUGAAAUUAGAUCCGAGUUUGUUGGCUUUAAGGUUGUAGAGAUGGUUGUCUCGCACAUGACAGGCCCAUAAAAAUGAUUUCUGAGUCAGAUUUGCAUAUAAAAACAUGCCGUCUGGAUGGCUUCUCAUACGUAUUUCCUCUCUACAUUUAGUAUUCAUUCAUUCACAGCAUUCGAAAGCAUUUCACCUCAAACUGAUGUGACAAUAUGACAGCUUCCAUACGAUUCCUCAUAUCAUAAUUAUAUCUAAAUCACUGAGCUGCUGUUAUACUGUCUGCUGCUGCUGCUGCUCAUACUGUAUUGCCACCUUAACUUGUAUCCAUGUGCCAAUGGUCCACAUCUGCUUAUCAGUGCUACAAGAAGAGAUUGUCUGCCCCAAGCUAUCAUUUUUGUGAUUCUAAUAUGCAUAACUGAAUAAUUAUCCGCUGCUGCAUAUCAGCUGAACCGCUGGAUUUAGAUUUGUAUGUCUCAUUUCACCAGAUAUUUUCCCCCACAGGGUUUAGUGCUGAUAUGUGACAGGUGGCCGCUUUGCAGCCUCACCAGAAAGAGUGUCUUUGGGAAAGUUCGAGUUCAAAUCGCAAAAAACAAAUGAGAAGAAAGUGUCAGCUGCACAUAUGUAAACAAACAGGUUGCAAAAAUGUGAUAAACAGUCCCCACCUCUUUACCGGGUUGCUUAUCGACUUUUUGAUGAGACGCUGUGGCCCUUCAGGCACGUCUUGCAUUCGGGAGAUGUUGAUGCUGUCACUGCGACGAGGGAAAGCAUCCCCUCCUUGUGGGGAAAGGGGCCAAAAGGUGAGGGAUUAUGAAGCUGCCGAUGCAGAUUGGAUUCGGCUAUUAUCCGGAGUUUCAUCAUCUUCCCAGGAGAGCUUACACUUUUCUAAUCCUCCAGGGUUGUUUUUCCCCUCGCCGUGUUAUCUGCCACUUUGUCUAGAAUGAGCGUUUGUCUAAUCCUCAUAGUUUGUGUCAUUUUGCUCUGACGUGCUGUGACACUAUUUAGCCUUGGGCAAAGACUGCAAAUAUUUUAUAGUAAUAUUAGAUUGGUGUGUGUGUGUGUGGAUUUACUUGAACGAGAGUGGGGAAACAUUCACACAUUGUUGACACACUGUUAGACAUUAAAAAGUCAAACAAAAAAUAGGAAAUUCUGCCUUUUUAAGCCAGCAUCAACAUAACACCAAGACUUAGACUUAUAUCACUCUCUUUAGUCAGUGUCACACAGAUAAUCCUACCUCCUCCUGCUCCUCUCCCUGCUCUCCUCUUUCCACCUGUGCAUACAUGAUCAUUUGGCCUGCUGUAACACAACAUACUGAAGCGACUGCAGUCCACAACUAACUUUUGCUUUAUCUGCAACUUCAGCGAUUGCUACAAUGUGCUUCAGGAGAGUUUCAGCCUUAAGACAGUACAAAGGGACAAAUGCUGCGUUCAAGUUACCUCGGAAGUCGGAUGUUGGAGCUGUGAAUGACGUUAUACCCGAGUUGACGGCGUUUCAGUUAACAAGUCGGAAAACCAAGAUGGACACCUACAGUUAGCUGUUGUUAGCUAUUGUUUACAAUUGUCAGCUGUCGUUAGCUGUCGCCAGUUGUUGUUAGUGGUUGUCAGCCAUUGUUAGCUGUCGUCAGUUGUUGUUAGCGGUUGUCAGCUGUUGUUAGUUGUUGUUAAAAACAUAUAACACAGUAUUUUACUCUUGCAAACACCACAGCACCGUGUUCACAGUUAGACAUUGGCCAAUACAACAUAUACCACUUAUUUAAUUUCACAAAAACAAAACAGAAGUGCUAAUAAUUAAUACAUUACGAGAGCUUUCACUAUUACUCUUUACUGUUGAUGCACUGCGCUGCCAUCUUGGAUUAUGACGUUGUCGUCAAGUUGGGGUUGGUGAGAACUGUCCAACUUUCCAAGUCGGAAAUCUGACUUCAGGGGGGCGUUCCAGAUUAAUUUCUUCCUCGGAGCUUGAAAAUUCCGACUUCCGAGUACAACUGAAACACAGCAUAAUACUCUGGGCACCUGAAAAUAGACUUGCACUGUGUGCAAAUACCAAAGUAGAAAUACUGAUAUGUGUAUCGUCAUGAUUGAGAAAACGCACACAAAAGGUGGAACCUGGCAAUAAUGCAUUGAUGAAAAACCCAAUCAUACUCAUGUGUUUUGUUCUAUGUGGUUGUGUUUGAGUUGGAGUGAGUGUUUUGGUGAACAGGAAGUCAUGGACAUCAGAAUCCCUUUGGGGGGUUUGACUCCUAAUUUCCAUAUCGAGCCGCAUUAUCCCCUCCUUCAAUUUCGGCAGUUUCAUAGUCAUUAGAAAUGGUAUUAGUCAUCAGUAGUAUUUAUCUCUUAUCUGGGGUUGUGUGUACGGUGUCAUAAUGUGUGUUUGAAAUGAUGUUUUAUGCUGUCCCUGUGUUUCAUUAUCUAAAUGAUGCUAAAUAGACAUUUCUACUCUGAUGGGCUCUAAUUUUAGAGAAAAGUCUAAUAUGUGUCCAUGUUCAGAUAAAAAUAAAUGACAUGAAAUGUUGCCACAAAUAAUAAGCAUCUCCAAAUGAUAGAGAGGAGCUGACUCCUUCUCUGCAAUCAGAGGGACCGAACCAUUAAUCUGCCUCCACCUCCCAGUCAAAGUUAAACCCCUGCGCUGGAGUGGGUGGUGAAGACCUCUGACUCCCCGCCUUUCCCAGCGACUCUCAACUCUCCCCUCACCAGGAGCGUGUUUGACCGAGGCUCGCCACCUGGGGCUCUGUGGCACUGGAACACGCCUGCAGUGAUAAUUAAUGAGAAUUACCGCUACUGAGAGAGGCACUUUGGCAGGAGGGGUGAGAGACAGGAAGAUUGGACUCAGUGAGGAUCAUUGGGAUGUAAUGACUGUGGUGGAGAGGACAAAGAUGGAGGCGGUGGGUGGAGACAUAAUGUGAUCAUUUUGCUGCUGGCAGGGGACACUCUAGCCUUGGUGUUGGCUGCUUUUUCCCAACUGUCUGAGUGGCUAAUAAACACCAAGUUCACAGCUAGAAGUCUCACAAGUACCAUUAUUUAUUUACCAAGGUUUGAGUGUCAUUGAGAGAAAUUUAGAGGGAGAUAUUGCAGCAAUAUUCCCUGACUGGGAGAAAAAUUUCUGCCUAUUUUAAAAAGAAAAAUCCUUCAUCUCUAUGUUCAAAGUCUAUCGCAUGAAACGCAUGCCUGGUCUGGAGCACACUUGACUGGAGAAAAGGAGCGCCUGAGGCUAGACUCACUGUGAUGAAACAGAUCCUUGGGAGAAAGGCCACGUAGCCCAAGUAAGAAAAACCAAUGCAAAUAAUUAUUUCAGAGCUAAUAGCCCAGAGAAAACAGAGGAAAGUGGACUUUUAAGGGAAACUGUGCUGGUCAGAGUCCCUCUACCAACACAUUAAUUAUAAUCCACUUUCAAAGGGGAUUUAUACUCCGGAUAAUAACGGCACUGAGGGGAAAUAAUGCUUUUAUUUUCAGCUUUCUGCAUUAUAAACCAGCCAACAAAUACUGAACACUUUAAUUUAAUGCUUUGUGUGUUUUUCUUUAUGUCAGGACUCAUUACAAAGAAUAAACAUUUCACACUCGACUAACAUUUGCAUAUUUUUCUCUCAGUUUAUAGAGGCACUCAGAAACAAUACAAACUUAUGGAACAGCCAGUGCUGUUGCUGCUAUUAAGAGUGUCAUUUCCAGGUAAACAAGGGACGUACAUUCAUUUUUCUGAAUGCAAUUUUCAUCUCUCCACUUUUACAGUCUGAGUUGAACUUAACUCAUCAAAGUUUCUAAAAAAAGUCUGCUCUUGGAGAUAGGUUGAAAAAUAUACACAUGCUCUUUUGGGACAGCUUGAAGCAGCAGCUAUUGAUUUGCGGUUUGUUGCCUGCCUUUAUAAAAUAUGAGUGCGUUUCAAUACAGGACUUGCAUCCUUCAAAAGGUUCAUUUAACCAUUUGCAUCCCAGCAGCACACCAAAGGCUGUCCUGUUUUGGACGCUCUUUCAAAAGCAUGACACUUAACUUGGGCUUCAAGUGUAUUUGGGUGUAUCCUUCACAGUCCAACAUGUCUUGUGGUUCUUUGCAUGUCAGUUUAAAGAAUAUAGUGUACUUUCAGGUGGCCGAGCACUACCCAGUUAGACUCAAUGGACAUGCCAGUGAGUAGCCAUGUUUACAUGUUGAAAAUUUCUUGAUC